This is a long non-coding RNA of Astatotilapia calliptera (eastern happy), 2345 nucleotides long. NCBI's taxonomy places the organism in Eukaryota, Metazoa, Chordata, Actinopteri, Cichliformes, Cichlidae. The record is from Ensembl.
AAGACAAGCACUGAGGUAUGCAAGUGUACUGUUAGAAAAAAUGGAAAGGUGACACCACACAUGCAGAUAAUAUGCACCAGAGAUAACAAAAAAUCAUACACAAAGUGUUACACAUUAAAAUAGGGCAUUUGUAGAAGGGGUUAACAACACUCAGUGUGGUUGCCUAUGGUAACCUGCAAGCAUUUGGGGUUUAGCUGUGCCUGUCUAUGGCAGAGUUUUUCAGUUAGAUGUUUCUGGAACAAAAUUUGGAGUGAACGGAGUUUUGUUUCAGAAAAAAGGGGGAGAUACAUAAAAGGAUACAUAAAAACAGAAAAUGUAUUAACCCGACUAACACACACACACACACACACACACACACACACACACACACACACACACACACACGUAAUGAAGAUCAAACACAAUUUUAAGUAGGUAAUACUGUUACCAUCAUCUGGUCUGGUUUAUUGAGUGGGGUGAGAACUGAUACAUAGACGACUGAAUUAGUAUUAUUUUGGGGAACAUGAUAGCAGGGGUGAACAGAAUCCUGCAGCCAGAGUUUAAAUGAGUCAAACUAGCAGAUUUUUUGUUUUUGUUUUGUUUUGUUUUUGUUUCUGAAGUAUGGGGAAGGUUUUACCAUGGCACCAAGUUUUAGAUUUGGUGUCUUCUCACCUAUAAGAGAAAGAAUAUUCUGUGACAAGUCCUAAGACCGGGCUUCUGUAUUUUUUCUUUUUCUUUUGUUUUUCAGUUUUAUUUGUCAUUUUUCAUUUUAUUUUUAUUUUUUGAACAGUGCACUGAUUUCUGUUUGUGAAUUUCUUUUCUUUAAGCAGAUCUGCACGUCGGGAAUUAAAAGUGCUACACGUCGUCAAGAAAAUUGUUGCAAGUGAGUUUCUCCACAUUAAAAUGGGCUCUGGAGAAAGCCACUUAUUUGGGACAAUUAGAAAAUGAGAGUCCCGGCCUAAAAAGGAUUCAGCGAGAGUGGACUCCUGCAAGGAUGGAACAACCUCCCCGCCAGUUGAAGAGCCCCCCAGUUAGGCCGAUGCACAAGAGGCCCCCUGCGCCAGGGCUGAGCCCCCAUGCACCCACCCGCUCACAACCUCGGUGACACACCGACGAGGACCGAAGCCCCCAAGGCCCAGCCAGAGCCCCAGCAUGGAGGCGAAGCACCCCCGAACCCCAAACCCCCACGCCUGCCCCGGAUCCACUCAGGGGCAGCCAGGCCACCAGGCCAGUAACCUACGUCCACCAGUACAGACCAUCCUCCAGCCCCGCUGCACGCAGCCAUGAGGAGAACAACCUCUAAGAGCGACCAGAGCCACUAACCAGGGAUAACGCCUCUAGGUGUCCUCCAGGCGCCCUAAGCCCGCCCCAACUCCAUAUCAACCACAGUAGCUAAGGCGGGACCAAACCACGACCCCCUACCCCCGCUAGGUGAUGGAGCCAAUCAAAGGAGCCCAGAGGGAUUGAUCUAAUGUGGUGGCAGAGGCUAUAUCGAGACUAAUGUGAUCUAUUAGAAGGUUUCUAUAUUGGUUAGAAUUAAGGUUAGAAUUUUUAUUUUUCCAGUUUAUGAGGACCGUUUUAUUGGCGAUGCAUAGGGCAGUAAAAACCAUGUGGACUGUAUUAGUUUCUGUAGUGACCUCAUCCAAUUUUCCCAACAAGCAUACUAAAGGGGAGGUUGGAAUUUUACAUUUCAGACACUUUGAUAAGUCUUCACAUAUCUCGUGCCAAAACUUCUGCACUGGUGGACAGAACCAAAGAGCGUGAAUGUAAUUGUCUGGUGUAUUGCCUUGACAGUGUGAGCAGUUGUUGGAAGAUGUAGAGCCCAUCUUGAACAUCCGAUGACCUGUAUAGUGCACUCUAUGUAGUAUUUUGUAUUGUAUUAAUUGCAGACUGGGAUUUUUAAUCAAUUUAAAGGUUUUUAAGCAUACCUGAGACCAGAAGUUUUGUUCUAAGCUGACUGAUAAAUCUGCUUCCCACUUUGAAAUAGGAAGGGAUGUUGAUUCAUCUAAUUUAGAAAGUGUUCUGUAUAUUUUAGAUAAUAAUUUGGGGGAUUUAAGAGUAAGGAAAUGAGCCACACUUGGUGGUGUUUGUAAUUCAACUUGACUGAGGUUAAAUUUCCUUUUUACUAUGGAUUUAAUUUGUUGAUAUUCUAAAAAUCUUUUCUUGUUGAUCCCAUAUUGUGCAACUAGUCUGUCAAAUGGAAUAAAUUCUGUUCCCUCUAAUAUAUGUUCUAAGUAUUUAAUUCCUUUACAACUCCAUUCUGGGAAAUUAAUCAUAUUAUUGUUUUGUAAUAUGUCAGGGUUUUCCAGAUAGGUGUACGUUUGCAUGGGAUUAAUGAAGACUCAGUUAUUUUUAGAAACUCCCAC